AGUUCCGGUUGAAAAAAACAGAGCACUUUUCAAAGAGAGGACAUCUGAAGUUCAUUAUCGGGUCCAAGCCUAACCGAGUUCACGUAAUCAGUCAUGCAAUGAUCCGACAGACCAGGAAUCACCAGCCCCAUAAGCCUAAACAAGAUCCUAAACCAUCCCUCUUUGUAAUCUGGUCCAUGAGUGUACCCCAUCGUCAAGCCUCUAACCAACUCCCAAACUGCGAUCACAUGCCCAAGAAUCUUGUAACGCAGACCGUAAGGGUUCGGGUCCGGCUCAUCCUCUGCUUUCUGUCAAAUAUUCAAGAAAUCCAUUAUUAGUUACAAA
Long non-coding RNA from Arabidopsis thaliana (thale cress), 324 nucleotides. RefSeq annotates it as other RNA. The record is from RefSeq. The transcript has a single exon. Lineage: Eukaryota; Viridiplantae; Streptophyta; Magnoliopsida; Brassicales; Brassicaceae.